GGACGCUUUUGCGGUUUCGGCCGCAAGGGAGUGGCGGACGGGUGAGUAGCGCGUGGGAACCUGCCCCUUUGUGGGGGAUAACCGAGGGAAACUUCGGCUAAUACCGCAUGCGCCCCCGGAGUUGAUCCGGGGGGAAAGAUUUAUCGCAGAGGGAGGGGCCCGCGUCGGAUUAGGUAGUUGGUGGGGUAACGGCCUACCAAGCCUGUGAUCCGUAGCUGGUCUGAGAGGAUGAUCAGCCACAUUGGGACUGAGACACGGCCCAAACUCCUACGGGAGGCAGCAGUGGGGAAUAUUGGACAAUGGGGGCAACCCUGAUCCAGCCAUGCCGCGUGAGUGAUGAAGGCCCUAGGGUUGUAAAGCUCUUUUGUGCGGGAAGAUAAUGACGGUACCGCAAGAAUAAGCCCCGGCUAACUUCGUG
RNAcentral lists this ribosomal RNA (418 nucleotides) under uncultured bacterium. RNAcentral describes it as "bacterial SSU rRNA". It matches the Rfam family "Bacterial small subunit ribosomal RNA", at positions 64 to 507 of the family's 1533-position model. The record is from RNAcentral.